RNAcentral lists this ribosomal RNA (253 nucleotides) under uncultured bacterium. Its description in RNAcentral is "partial 16S ribosomal RNA". It matches the Rfam family "Bacterial small subunit ribosomal RNA", at positions 524 to 776 of the family's 1533-position model. The record is from RNAcentral.
UACAGUGGGGGCAAGCGUUGUUCGGAAUUACUGGGCGUAAAGGGCUCGUAGGUGGCCAACUAAGUCAGACGUGAAAUCCCUGGGCUCAACCCAGGAACUGCACUCGAAACUUCCGGCCUUGAGUGGUGGAGAGGGUAGUGGAAUUCCUGGUGUAGAGGUGAAAUUCGUAGAUAUCAGGAGGAACACCGGUGGCGAAGGCGGCUACCUGGACACCAACUGACGCUGAGACGCGAAAGCGUGGGGAGCAAACAGG